Molecule: non-coding RNA, 148 nt
Filed under: Gorilla gorilla gorilla (western lowland gorilla)
Lineage: Eukaryota; Metazoa; Chordata; Mammalia; Primates; Hominidae
Source: Rfam by way of RNAcentral
GCUGGGCAUGGUGGUGCAUGCCUGUAAUCCCAGCUACUCAGGAGGCUGAGGCAGGAGAAUUGCUUGAACCCAGGAGGUGGAGGCUACAGUGAGCUGAGAUCACGCCACUGCACUCCAGCCUGGGCAACAGAGUGAGACUCUGUCUCAA